This 134-nucleotide small nucleolar RNA is filed under the name Phascolarctos cinereus (koala). RNAcentral describes it as "Small nucleolar RNA SNORA65 (ENSPCIG00000021192.2)". It matches the Rfam family "Small nucleolar RNA SNORA65". From Rfam's summary of the family: U65 belongs to the H/ACA class of snoRNAs which are thought to guide the sites of modification of uridines to pseudouridines. Lineage: Eukaryota; Metazoa; Chordata; Mammalia; Diprotodontia; Phascolarctidae. The record is from Rfam by way of RNAcentral.
CCCGCCACUGCACCUGAUUUCCAGUAUUAUGUUGGCUGGUGCAAUCCAGUGGUAAGCUGAGAGGAAAAACCCAGCUUAGGAAACAGGGUUAUUCUGCAUGUGGGUGACUCUGUGCCGAAAGCUUGGGAACAUGG